Molecule: ribosomal RNA, 448 nt
Filed under: Campylobacter fetus
Lineage: Bacteria; Pseudomonadati; Campylobacterota; Epsilonproteobacteria; Campylobacterales; Campylobacteraceae
Description: bacterial SSU rRNA
Rfam family: Bacterial small subunit ribosomal RNA
Source: RNAcentral
GCGUAAAGGACGCGUAGGCGGAUUAUCAAGUCUUUUGUGAAAUCUAACAGCUUAACUGUUAAACUGCUUGAGAAACUGAUAAUCUAGAGUGAGGGAGAGGCAGAUGGAAUUGGUGGUGUAGGGGUAAAAUCCGUAGAGAUCACCAGGAAUACCCAUUGCGAAGGCGAUCUGCUGGAACUCAACUGACGCUAAUGCGUGAAAGCGUGGGGAGCAAACAGGAUUAGAUACCCUGGUAGUCCACGCCCUAAACGAUGUAUACUAGUUGUUGCUGUGCUAGUCACGGCAGUAAUGCACCUAACGGAUUAAGUAUACCGCCUGGGGAGUACGGUCGCAAGAUUAAAACUCAAAGGAAUAGACGGGGACCCGCACAAGCGGUGGAGCAUGUGGUUUAAUUCGAAGAUACGCGAAGAACCUUACCUGGGCUUGAUAUCCAACUAAUCUCUUAGAG